AGUAAAGGGUGACGCAUUGAUCCACGGGCCCAGUUUGGUCGCCCGGCCCGUGGGGAGCGAAUGGCGAAACCACCGCCCGCAUCA
The submitters of this non-coding RNA (84 nucleotides) gave its source as unclassified sequences. The record is from Rfam.